AGAGUUUGAUCAUGGCUCAGGACGAACGCUGGCGGCGUGCUUAACACAUGCAAGUCGAACGGAAAGGCCCUGCUUUUGUGGGGUGCUCGAGUGGCGAACGGGUGAGUAACACGUGAGUAACCUGCCCUUGACUUUGGGAUAACUUCAGGAAACUGGGGCUAAUACCGGAUAGGAGCUCCUGCUGCAUGGUGGGGGUUGGAAAGUUUCGGCGGUUGGGGAUGGACUCGCGGCUUAUCAGCUUGUUGGUGGGGUAGUGGCUUACCAAGGCUUUGACGGGUAGCCGGCCUGAGAGGGUGACCGGCCACAUUGGGACUGAGAUACGGCCCAGACUCCUACGGGAGGCAGCAGUGGGGAAUAUUGCACAAUGGGCGGAAGCCUGAUGCAGCAACGCCGCGUGCGGGAUGACGGCCUUCGGGUUGUAAACCGCUUUCGCCUGUGACGAAGCGUGAGUGACGGUAAU
RNAcentral lists this ribosomal RNA (460 nucleotides) under uncultured organism. RNAcentral describes it as "bacterial SSU rRNA". It matches the Rfam family "Bacterial small subunit ribosomal RNA", at positions 8 to 479 of the family's 1533-position model. The record is from RNAcentral.